RNAcentral lists this ribosomal RNA (276 nucleotides) under uncultured Spirochaeta sp. RNAcentral's name for it is "partial 16S ribosomal RNA". It matches the Rfam family "Bacterial small subunit ribosomal RNA", at positions 1107 to 1382 of the family's 1533-position model. Lineage: Bacteria; Pseudomonadati; Spirochaetota; Spirochaetia; Spirochaetales; Spirochaetaceae. The record is from RNAcentral.
GCUGCCUCGUUGCCACCACGAGAGGUGGGGACGUCAGGCGGGACCGCCGGUGGCAAACCGGAGGAAGUGGGGACGACGUCAAGUCAUCAUGGCCCUUAUGUCCUGGGCUACACACGUGCUAUAAUGGCCGGUACAGAGCGCAGCGAGGCCGCGAGGCGGAGCGAAUCGCUUAAAGCCGGUCCCAGUACGGAUUGGAGUCUGCAACCCGACUCCAUGAAGUUGGAAUCGCUAGUAAUCGCGCAUCAGCAUGGCGUGGUGAAUACGUUCCCGGGCCUU